UUAUGGUUUAUAAAAUUUAUUUUAAAUUUAUUUUACAUAUAAAUUUUAGUGUUAAUUAUUAAUUAUUUAAAUAAUAAUAAAUUAUUAAUGUAGUAAUUAAUAUUAAAAAUUUAAGAAAUUAAGAUUUAGUAAUAUUAAAAUUAAUAACAAAUUUUGUGCCAGCAGUUGCGGUUACACAAAAAUUAAAUUAAAUUUUAUUAGUAAUUAAUAAAUAAAUUAAUAUUAAUAUAAAUAAAAUUUUAAAUUAUUAAGUGAAAUUUUAAUUUAAUUAAAAUUUAUUUUAAAUUAUGAUUUAAUAAAUUUUAUUAUAAACUAGGAUUAGAUACCCUAUUAUUAAAAUUUUAAAUUUAAAAUACUAAAAUAGUAAAUAUAAAUUUAUUUAAACUUAAAUAAUUUGGCGGUAUUUUAGUAUAUUUAGAGGAAUCUGUUUAAUAAUUGAUAUUCCACGAAUAAAUUUACUUAAUUUAUAUUUUGUAUAUCGUUGUUAAAAAAAUAUUUUUAAAUAAAAAUAAUAUUUAAUAUUUAAAAUUAAAAGUUAAAUCAGAUCAAGAUGCAGAUUAUAAUUAAGAAUAUAAUGGAUUACAAUAAAAUUAUUUAAAUGAAUAUUAAUUUGUAAUAAUUAAUUGAAGGUGGAUUUAAAUGUAAUUUUAUUUAAUUUAAUAAUGUGAUUUUUUAUUAAAAUAUGUACAUAUUGCCCGUCGCUUUCAUAUAUAAAAUUGGAAUAAGUCGUAACAAAGUAGAGGUACUGGAAAGUGUUUCUAGAAAGAA
RNAcentral lists this non-coding RNA (768 nucleotides) under Neocerura liturata. The record is from RNAcentral. Lineage: Eukaryota; Metazoa; Arthropoda; Insecta; Lepidoptera; Notodontidae.